GUAAUCAGCAAGAAGAAAAAGC
Molecule: non-coding RNA, 22 nt
Filed under: Bacillus methanolicus MGA3
Lineage: Bacteria; Bacillati; Bacillota; Bacilli; Caryophanales; Bacillaceae
Source: RNAcentral